Marmota flaviventris (yellow-bellied marmot) is the source of this 2034-nucleotide non-coding RNA. The record is from RefSeq and is a predicted model, not a curated record. NCBI's taxonomy places the organism in Eukaryota, Metazoa, Chordata, Mammalia, Rodentia, Sciuridae.
UGGAGUCUCUCUCUUUUCUGCCUGAUCAUCAUGUGAGCUGCUUCCCUCCACCACAAUCUUCUGCCACGAUGCUCUUCCUCCCCUUGAGCCCUGAGGAGUGGAGCCUGCUGUCUAUGGAUUGAGACCUCUCUGAAACCGUGAGCCCUCACAUAAACUUUUCCUCCUCUGUGAUCGUUCUGGUCAGGUCUUUUAGUCACAGCAGUGGAAAAAGCUGAUGAAAGCAACCAGGCUGGGAUGAAAACCAGAGUCAUAUCAUCUUUUCCACUCAUCCAGGGACCUCAGGCAUGAACCUAGCAAAGAGAGAAGAAAGGAGACUCUUCCUGCCCUGCACUCCCAGAGACAAGGUGGUGAACAGUACAGCCGUUAGAGAAUGCUAGACCUCCUCCUCCACCUUGAUGGUUGAAGUCGUUUCAGCAGUUCCUCAAGAGCUGCUUUAACCACGAGGAGGCAGAGUGGAACAUUCUUCUCUUUCAUGAUGUCCCAAACAAGUUGCCACAUGGUAGCCCUGGUCUGAAGGAGAUCCAGCAUAUAAGAAAAUUCCAAUGGUGAGCACAGCAGCUGUGAAUCCCCAAGCACCCAUGAUCUGCCAACCUCAACCUCCUAGAGAGCUGGGAUUGCAGAUAGAUGAGGCAAGAAGCUGGAAAGAAGUUGGUGGUGAGCUGCUGUGUCUGUGGCAGCACAGGAGGCCCGCCAUUUAGACCUGCAACAGGCCACUUGAUAGUAGUGAAGAAGAAUCCGGCUUUGCUGGCUGUGACCCUCAAAGGCAUCCCCUGCUGUGAUUAGCUGCUAACACUGAUAUGGGCUUCCUGGGCUACAGAGGCCAAGGAGCCCAGGAGCAUGCACAAGCCCCACAUGCCAGCAGAAGCAGAGAGUCCUCUGGCCAAGUUGAUCUCAAGAUCUUAUGGUUUCACCCAGGCCACAAAAGGCCAAGCUGUUACAAAAUCUGAGUUUGCAUUUUGAAGGUUGAAGAAUGCACAAAAUGAAGAUAAGAAGCUUCUUGCUCAAAAAGCAGAGACCAGUGCCAAAGCAGAUGAACUUUCUACCAACACCCUCCGUCCUUGGCUUCCUGAUGAGUACGGAGGAUGGAAAGGUAGAGGAACGUGACAGCAAUGAGAAAAGACGUCUUGAAGACUCCUCUCCCUCAACUUGACCAAACUAAACUGAAGUCACGCUCCCCUCACUUACUAUUUCUCAUUUCCCAUUUUGGCAACAAACACCAUCAUUCACUUGGUAGUAUCAACUAUAAAAUUAGGAAUUGGACUUUGCAAAUAUGUCUCCUUUGCCCAUAUCAAAUUUUUAACUGAUUGUUGUCCAUUCAAUCUCCAACUUAAUACCAAUGUGAUAGUAUUAAGAGGUGGGGCUUCUAGAGACCAUUCACUGGUGACGGAUGGGUUCAGGGUUCUUAUAAAUGGGCUUGAAGGAGUGAGCUUAUCCCGUUUCCUCCCCUUGUUUCAUUUGAGAACUCAGAGUCCCCCUCCAGAGCAUGCAACAUUCUAGGCACCAUCUUGGAAGUAGAGAUGGGCCUUGAACAGACAGACCUACUUUGAUCUUGGACUCUAGAAAUGGAAAAUAAAAAAAUUAUAUUACUUAUAAAUUGCCCAGUAUAUGGUAUUUUGUAAUAGCACAAACGGAUGAAGACAAAUGCUUUAAAAGUUGGUCAAAUUUAAUUUAUGCAAAAGUCUUGAUAGACUGUACACAGACAAAAGCUCUCUGGAGUUCUUGGCCAUGAGACUAAAACAUUUUUCAAAUCACUGACCAAAAAUUCUGGUCAUUACGUGGCCACUACCCGACUAUCCUACCUGAUCCUUCCCUAUACUGCUCUGCUCCCAACCCUAACUUCAGUUCCUGUUCUUACCCCCAUUCUCUCCCAACACAGGCUACGUUGGCAGAAACCCUGUCAUCCUCUUGAUCCAAUAAACUUGAUGCUAUUUUCAAAUUGCAUCCUUCCCGUUGUUAAUUCCUCAGGUAAGCCUCCCCCGAUCUUAAUUCAUUCAAAUUUGCUGUAAUAAAACCUCAUAGGUUUCUCACCUCUCA